Molecule: unclassified non-coding RNA, 258 nt
Filed under: Acacia flexifolia
Lineage: Eukaryota; Viridiplantae; Streptophyta; Magnoliopsida; Fabales; Fabaceae
Description: partial contains external transcribed spacer and 18S ribosomal RNA
Source: RNAcentral
GGGCCACUUGAUGUAAGCCUCCAUCCGGCGCCUUCCAAUGGGCGCAGGAGGACAACAGAGCACCCCCCGCGUUCCACCGAGCCUUCUCGGUCGCGUGGCCCGCGGGGACGUGCGAUGCUCUCGGACCCAGCGAACGCCGUGGGCGAGGACUCACGUCCCAGUCCCGAAAAUAAGCUCCGAUAUAAUGCAUGACGGCCGCUCCCGCCCCCCGACCGCCCCGGCGGCGCGGGGGCGAGGCGCGGCGUCGCAGAGGAAUGC